CCAAUAGCGUAUAUUAAAGUUGUUGCAGUUAAAAAGCUCGUAGUUGAAUUUCGGGGUUAGUAGGUUGGUCGUGCCUAUGGUAUGUACUGGCUUUACUGAUUCCUCCUUCUUGAAGAACUGUAAUGUCAUUAAUUUGGUGUUGCAGGGACACAGGACUGUUACUUUGAAAAAAUUAGAGUGUUUAAAGCAGGCUAACGCUUGAAUACAUUAGCAUGGAAUAAUGAAAUAGGACGUUUGAUCCUAUUUUGUUGGUUUCUAGGAUUGACGUAAUGAUUAAUAGGGAUAGUUGGGGGCAUUAGUAUUCAAUUGUCAGAGGUGAAAUUCUUGGAUUUAUUGAAGACUAACUACUGCGAAAGCAUUUGCCAAGGAUGUUUUCAUUAAUCAAGAACGAAAGUUAGGGGAUCGAAGACGAUCAGAUACCGUCGUAGUCUUAACCAUAAACUAUGCCGACUAGGGAUCGGAUGAUGUUAAUUUUUUAAUGACUCAUUCGGCGCCUUACG
This 500-nucleotide ribosomal RNA is filed under the name uncultured Glomeromycotina. RNAcentral's name for it is "partial small subunit ribosomal RNA". It matches the Rfam family "Eukaryotic small subunit ribosomal RNA", at positions 591 to 1092 of the family's 1831-position model. The record is from RNAcentral. Lineage: Eukaryota; Fungi; Glomeromycota.